Molecule: long non-coding RNA, 5552 nt
Organism: Ostrea edulis (European flat oyster)
Lineage: Eukaryota; Metazoa; Mollusca; Bivalvia; Ostreida; Ostreidae
Exons: 6
Source: RefSeq, a predicted model, not a curated record
UAGGGCCUAAACCGAUAUAUAUAUAUAUAUAUAUAUAUACAUACCUAUUAUAAGACUUCAGCGGACGUAAAAUAUUUAUAGACCACCGUUAGGCAGACGUAAAAAUUAGGCUGACGUUUUUAAGUCUGCCCAAUUUUCUACUUGUAAAAUGAAAUUAUGUACUUAACUUUUGAGUAAAAUGUGUUUUCUUUCCUUAAAUUUAGAAUCUAAACUUUACAUUUCGGGCAAAAAGAUUUCAUUUUAUUCAUAAAAGUGUAAAUUCUAGAGUUGUUAAAAACUAGCGUGUAUUAUUUUGGCAAUAUACGUUUCACGACUUGUGUAGACAUUUUUCAAAUGGGCAUCACAAACGAAAGCGGAAAUAUAUUUAAAUUUCGUUUGAUUUUUUCCUUAUUCUGAACCACUAGGUGUCAGAUUAUUUAGAUUAAUAUUUUUAAAGAUGGUAUUUAAAAAUUUUGAAUUUUCCAACACCGUGAUUUUUUUGUUGCGUUCUGUUUUGCUGUUAUGUUACGGAAAUGAACUUCGGGAACCUUCGGAGACACCCGGAAAGGAUCCAGCGUCUGCGAAGAUGUUGUCACGUAGGAGGAAAGUGUCGAUUGGGUUAAGACUGAUCUGUACAAAAGUGGCUUUUCUGUUGGACACAUUUCAAAAUACAAUGGAGGAACAAUCCUGCACAUUAUUUGUGGAAAUGGAAGAGUUAGAGGCAGAACAGGAGGAACGAUCAUGAACAUCAUUAGUUGAAAUGGAAGAGUUAGAGGCAGAACAGUCAUUUCACCCAAGGAGGCAUGCAUAUGGAUUUAGGCUGUGAAAAAGAACCCCAAACAAAAUGGCGGCUUGUGAAUUAGAUAAAGUUUCUGAGUGUAGGAUCUGAACGGAGAAUAGGAAUACUGCAUCCCAUCUGACCCUGCAGGAAGAAAGACCUCUGGCAAAGACAAGAACAAAGGAGGGAGAACAUUUUUGGAAAUUUAUGCAAUCUUCAGUGUGUUUGGACACAGGAGCUAUGAUAUCCAUCCAUUCUGGUUGCCUCGGGAUCGAUUCUUGUGAAGAUAGAAAAUUGGAAAUUCAAAUGUUGGUUAUUUUACACUUUAAAAAUGCUGACUGCUUAGUCCAAUAUCUUGAUAAAUCUAGUCUUUUGUGAUUUUUCAGGCAAAUUAAAUCUCCAACACAUGUAUACAUUUUUGAUAAAUUACCCCAAGGACCCUAUAUUUUUUCAAAAGCAAUAUAUAUCUGAAGUAAAUAAAACCAUUUUUGUUGGGUCACACAAUGAAUAGAAAAGACAGAUGUAGUGCUUAUAUCAUGGAAUUUCUGUAAACAGAUGAUAUUUUUUACACAGGUUUUAGCUCACCUGAGCCAAAAGCUCAAUUAAGCUUUUCUGAUCAAAAUUUGUCCGUUGUCUGUCGUUGUCGUAAACUUUUCACGUUUUCGACUUCUUCUCAAGAACCGCUGGCCAAUUUCAACCAAAUUUGUCACAAAGCAUCCUUGGGUGAAGGACUUUCAAGUUUGUUCAAAUUAAGGGCCAUGUCCCGUUCAAAGGGAAGAUAAUCACAAAAAUGCAAAAAUAGGGUGGGGUCAUUUAAAAAUCUUCUUGUCAAGAACCACUGGACCAGAAAAGCUGAAAUUUACAUGAAAGUUUCCUGAUAUAGUGCAGAUUCAAGUUUGUUCAAAUCAUGGCCCCCGGGGAUUGGAUGGGGCCACAAUAGGGGAUUAAAGUUUUACAUACUGAUAUAUAGGAUAAAUCUUUAAAAUUCUUCUUCUCAAGAACUACUGAGCCAGAAAAGCUGAGAUUUACAUGAAAGCUAUCUGACAUAAUGCAAAUUCAAGAUUGUUCAAAUCAUGGCUCCUGGGGUAUGAUGGGGCCACAUUAGGGGAUCAAAGUUUUACAUACGAAUAUAUAAGGAAAAUCUUCUCAAGAACCACUGAGCCAGAAAAGCUGAGAUUUACAUGAAAGCUCUCCGACAUAUAUUUCAGAUUUCAGUUUGUUAAAAUCAUGGCCCCCAGGGUAGGAUGGGGUCACAAGGGGGAUCAAAGUUUUACUUACAAAUAUAUAGGGAAAAUCUUUAAAUAUGAGCUAAAGUGACUCAGGUGAGUGAUGUGGCCCUUGGGCCUCUUGUUUAAAGCCUUUCAUAAUUACCAAAUUUAAAAAUUGGUCUGAAACUGGAAGGUACAAACGAAUCCAUUACCAUUUUGAAUAUUCAUAACCUAGUAUGUUCUGUUGACAUGUUUUGUUUAGAAUUUUGUUCAGAGAAAUGUAGUUCAAAUGAUCACAAAAUAUACACUGUCAUUGGUUUUGGUAUACAUAUAAAACGUAAAUCCUGGUUUACCAUGUUCAUAAUAUAUGCCAUGUAAUAGAACUAAGUGCUCUGUUGUUUAAACUGUGUAUUGUUAUAGGAUUUUCGUUUAGUGUUUAUGACUAUCUCAUGUGAGCAUUACUGCCUAUGAUAUUUUCUCUUUAAAUAUAAUUGUUUUGAAAAUAUGUUGAUAAAUGACCACUACAGUUUGAUUCAUAUGUAUAUUAUCUGAGUUCAGAAUGUUCUCUUGCGUUUUGUCUUAUUGAGAUGAUAUAUUGUGCUCUUUGACUUAAUGAUGCUGCUUUAAGGCAUAAUUGUUGGACCUAUAGUGUAUUCAUUUUCAAAUGUAUUGAAAUCUAAUUUUUGAUAAUAAUGAGGCAAUGCUAUACUUGUUAGGGUAGUAAUGCACCAGUAAUUCAAAUGUACAUUGAUGUCUUACCCGAAUGUUUUUAUUUGGUUACAAUUUUGGUUUUUGAUAAGAAUUUUAGGUCAUAUAAGUAAUCUCUGGUGACCUGUCUUCUGAGUAAAUUCAGGUAACAAUUGAACAUUUUGUAAGAAAAACGUAUGCAUAGUCAGGUAGAGGAGGAAGGCCUUUACUAAAAAUGUAGAUGUCGUAAUCCUUGGGGUAGGGUUUCUGACUCUGGGGUAAGACCAAACUUGGUAUACAUAGUGCAUAUGUGUUAAAGGCAUAGGAUCUAUCUUUUAUCUCAAAAAUGACAUCACAAUAUUUUGCAAGAAGAACUCCAAAAAACAAAUUUGUAGUAUUAAUUAUGAGUUAUCUAUAGCUGCAGCGCUUUGAAAUUUAAGUCAUUUUGACGUUUUAGCCCUAUUUAAAAUUUUUGUCAGGAGGACAAUAUAUUAAACUGGUACCCCACUGAUUGUUGGCUACACACAAACAUAAGAGAUGCGAAAUCAACAGGGUACCAAUUUAGGCAAAUGAGAACAAGGAAUUAUUUUGUAAUUACUAUCGUUAUCCAAUGUGUUUGUAAACAUUCUGAAGAACUUUGUGUGAUUUUCUAGUUAAUAUGAUCUUAAAUUUCGCCACCUUUUUGGAACAUGCAACAUUUCACCAAUAUCUUAGACCCUAUGCCUUUAAGGUAAUUCCACCCCUGUAGAAUUAUAGGUUCAAUCUUAUAUUUGAUUAAUGAUUAUCUUAGUAACAAAUAAAAAUAAUAAGAUAAGUAUGUUGCAGCAUUGAUAAAAAGAUUUAUCAAUUAGCACGCAUAUACCUGUUAUUGAUGUCAGAAAAUUACAAUUGUCAUUAAAUACAUUUCAUUAUCACAAAAACUUGUUAAAACGAUAUAAUGGUAUUCAUAACAAUUUCAUGAAACUGUUUCUUAAAAAAAAUAUACAAUAUGUUUGUGAAAAGUAAAAGAUGUCUAUGCAUAAAAAAUUGAUAAAUAAUUUAAUGAAAAAGGAGUUAUUACCCUUGGAUUCGGUAUUUCGAAACUCAUACGUGACUUUUGAAAUAUCUUAUGGUUAACAAGAUAUUUUACAAUAACAAUUGAAAAAGACUUCAACAAAAUUUAUGUUCCCAUCAUGCAUAAAUCUUAUCAAAUCAUUGACUUUGCGAAAUCUUAUGACAUCACAGGAGAGUGGAACUACGUUACACAAUUAUAAAAUAUCUUUUUAGCUCACUUGAGCUGAAAGAUCAAGUGAGCUUUUCUGAUCGCUUUUUAUUCGUCGUCUGUCUGUUAAACAUUUACAUUUUCAACUUCUUCUCCAAACCCACUGGGCCAAUUUUAACCAAUGUUGGCACAAAUCAUCUUUGGGUGAAGGGGAAUCAAAUUUUUUCAAAUGAGGGCCAACCCCCUUAUCCAAGGGGAGAUAAUAGCAAAUCAGUAAAAACACACUGAAAUUUUUUUAAAAUCUUCUCCUCCAGAACCAGUAAGCCAUUUUCAUUCAAACUUAAUGCAAAUCAUCCUUAGUUGAAGGGAAUUCAAAAUUGUUCAAAUUAAGGGCCAGGUUUUCUUCAAGGGGGAGAUAAUCACAAAAGUGUAAAAAUAGGGUGGGGUCAUUUAAAAAUCUUCUUCUCAUGAACCACUGUGCCAGUAUAGUUCAAAUUUACAUGGAAGCUUCCUGACAUAAUGCAGAUUCAAGUUGUUCAUAUCAUGGCCCCCAGGGGUCGGGUGGGGCCACAAUAGGGGAAACCAUAUUUUAUAUGUGUUUAUAUAGGAAAAAUCUUUUAAAAUCUUCUUCUCAAGAACCAUUGAGCCAGAAGAGUUCAACUUUACAUGGAAGCUUCCUGACAUAAUGCAGAUUCAAAUUUGUUCAUAUCAUGGCCGCUGGGGGUCGGGUGGGGCCACACUAGGGGAAACCACAUUUUAUAUGUAUUUAUAUAGGAAAAAUCUUCUUCUCAAGAACCAUUGAGCCAGAAGAGUUCAAAUUUACAUCGAAGUUUCCUGACAUAGUUCAGAUUCAAGUUUGAAGCUUUAUGACAUAGUUCAAAUUCAAGUUUGUUGAAAUCAUGGCCCCCGGGGUGUCAGGUUUUGCCACAAUAAGGGAAACCGUAUUUCCUAUGAGUAAAUAUAUGAUAACUCAGGUGAGCGAUGUGGCCCAUGGGCCUCUUGUUUAAAGGUUGAUAUUAACAUGAAACUAAAUUAAUAUGCGGUAGUCCUUAACCAAAAUUGUAAAAUACAUGAUUUCCUGGACAAGGGUUUAGUUUCCAGGAUAAGGCCAAGAUUAUAGUAGCAACUAUUGUCUUUAUUGUGAUAUGGUAAAUAACUAAAUGCAUGCUUAUUAGAAGCAGAACAGGAUAUACCAAAGUGGUGAUUUACACAACCCCAGGGUUUUGACUGUACACAGGUCCAAAGUAGUCAUAUUAUUUAAUGUUGUAUAUAAAACGUCUCCUUAUUAGUGAAAUAUUCUCGAGAAGGACGUUAAACAAUACACAAUCAUCUGGACUGUAUAGACACUUUCAGGGCAUUUAAGUUUUAUGAACACAUCUUGUUUUAUUCUGUUUUGUAUGUUAGGAUUUAAUUUAGGUAUGCAGAACAGGAAUUUUUCUCAAGAUUUCAUAAUCCUUGGGACUAGUGAUACUUUUAAUUAAUUCUCAUGUACCCAAUAAGGCCUGUGGGCCUUUUAUUUCAUGAAAUGCAUUAAAUUCUGAUUGAUAUGUCUUUUGUAAUUUUUCAUGAAAUGGAUGAAAAUCCUGUAUGUUUUAUUAAUAUUUGACCAGCAACCAUACUUGAAAAUGAUUUGUAUGACAUGCCAGUUUUUGUUACAAAGUAACAAUUAUAUAAUGAAUAAAUUUCAUGUUAAAGUUAA